Molecule: ribosomal RNA, 534 nt
Filed under: Pichia sporocuriosa
Lineage: Eukaryota; Fungi; Ascomycota; Pichiomycetes; Pichiales; Pichiaceae
Description: eukaryotic LSU rRNA
Rfam family: Eukaryotic large subunit ribosomal RNA
Source: RNAcentral
GCGAGUGAAGCGGCAAGAGCUCAGAUUUGAAAUCGUGUUUCGGCACGAGUUGUAAAUUGCAGGUUGGAGUCUUUGUGGAAGUGCGUGUCCAAGUCCCUUGGAACAGGGCGCCAGUGAGGGUGAGAGCCCCGUGGGAUGCGCAUUGAAGCUCUAAGGCCCUUCUGACGAGUCGAGUUGUUUGGGAAUGCAGCUCUAAGCGGGUGGUAAAUUCCAUCUAAGGCUAAAUAUUGGCGAGAGACCGAUAGCGAACAAGUACUGUGAAGGAAAGAUGAAAAGCACUUUGAAAAGAGAGUGAAACAGCACGUGAAAUUGUUGAAAGGGAAGGGUAUUGGGUCCGACAUGGGGACUGGGCAUCGUUGCUUCUUGUAGGCGGCGCUCUGUGCUCUCUCUGGGCCAGCAUCGGUUUUUGCCGCAGGAUAAGGGGCGUUGGAACGUGGCUCCUCGGAGUGUUAUAGCCAACGUCAGAUGCUGCGAGCGGGGACCGAGGGCUGCGACAUUUGUCUCGGAUGCUGGCAUAACGGCUCAAUACCGCCC